Long non-coding RNA from Anastrepha ludens (Mexican fruit fly), 658 nucleotides. RefSeq lists it as uncharacterized. The transcript has 3 exons. Lineage: Eukaryota; Metazoa; Arthropoda; Insecta; Diptera; Tephritidae. The record is from RefSeq and is a predicted model, not a curated record.
GCAAGGUUGCAUCCAUUAACUACCAGUACUUUGACAGUAAAAAUAGCGAGCAGAGAAGUAAAGUCGUCAACUCGCCGAUAAAUGAUUUAUAAGUUUGCAGGGGUACCUUUUAAGGCCCGUCUGCACACAACUUUUGAGACCCGAUGGCGUUCGUAUCGCUUUGGCGCAACGCCAAAAAUGUGUGCGUGAUAUAUUUAACGUUUUUGUGCGAAAACUUUAAGCAGAAAAAUAGAUUGUCAACGUACGCGACAAGAUGACAGUUGUCCAAGGCGAAUUGAGAUCUUAGGUAGCGUUAGUGCCCAUUUACACGAUGUCUCCUCUGGAAGGUAAACAUUUUGUUCGCGGGUGAAGGACGGCCGCGGAAGAGAGAAGGGAAUUUGUCUCCUGUACUGGCGACACGCUUUGUGCUUCUUAUUCGUAUUUCCAAUCUUAAAGCAAACUGUCAAAGUUGCUUCAUUCGUUUUCUUCUUUCGUGGAAGAAAGUUCUAAGUUAUGUGUUGGUUUUCAAGCAAACGGAAGAUAACAACGAUGACAAACAUACGAACGCUGCUUGGGAAAUGCACAAUUAUUUUUGCUAGUAAAGUAGUAUAAUUUAAAAUAGUUAUGGGACAUGUUUAUGUUGAUUUAUAAUUUUUUCCUGCAUUUCUAGAAACUCAGU